UCGCUCCCCUAGCUUUCGCGCCUCAGCGUCAGUGUCAGCCCAGCAACCCGCCUUCGCCGCAGGUGUUCCUCUCGAUAUCUACGCAUUUCACCGCUACACCGAGAAUUCCAGUUGCCCCUUCUGCACUCUAGCCCUGCAGUAUCAGUUGACCUUUCCGAGUUAAGCCCGGAGAUUUCACAAUUGACUUGCAGUGGCCGCCUACGCGCCCUUUACGCCCAUUU
This 221-nucleotide ribosomal RNA is filed under the name uncultured soil bacterium. RNAcentral's name for it is "partial 16S ribosomal RNA". The record is from RNAcentral.